UGGGGAAUAUUGCGCAAUGGGCGAAAGCCUGACGCAGCCACGCCGCGUGAGCGAUGAAGGCCUUCGGGUCGUAAAGCUCUGUGGGGAGAGACGAAGAAAGCCUGUGAAGAGCAGGCCUUGACGGUAUCUCCUUAGCAAGCACCGGCUAACUCCGUGCCAGCAGCCGCGGUAAUACGGAGGGUGCGAACGUUGCUCGGAAUCAUUGGGCGUAAAGCGCACGUAGGCGGCGGCGUAAGCGGGAUGUGAAAGCCCAGGGCUCAACCCUGGAAGUGCAUCCCGAACUGUGUCGCUUGAAUCUCGGAGGGGGACAGAGAAUUCCCGGUGUAGAGGUGAAAUUCGUAGAUAUCGGGAGGAAUACCAGUGGCGAAGGCGCUGUCCUGGACGAAGAUUGACGCUGAGGUGCGAAAGCGUGGGGAGCAAACA
This 423-nucleotide ribosomal RNA is filed under the name uncultured Nannocystis sp. Its description in RNAcentral is "bacterial SSU rRNA". It matches the Rfam family "Bacterial small subunit ribosomal RNA", at positions 355 to 774 of the family's 1533-position model. The record is from RNAcentral. Lineage: Bacteria; Pseudomonadati; Myxococcota; Nannocystales; Nannocystaceae.